Molecule: ribosomal RNA, 253 nt
Filed under: uncultured bacterium
Lineage: Bacteria
Description: partial 16S ribosomal RNA
Rfam family: Bacterial small subunit ribosomal RNA
Source: RNAcentral
UACGAGGGGGGCAAGCGUUGUUCGGAAUUAUUGGGCGUAAAGGGCGCGUAGGCGGUUUGACAAGUCUGAUGUGAAAUCUAUGGGCUCAACCCACAGCCUGCAUUAGAAACUGUCGGGCUUGAGUAUGGGAGAGGUGAGUGGAAUUUCCGGUGUAGCGGUGAAAUGCGUAGAUAUCGGAAGGAACACCUGUGGCGAAAGCGGCUCACUGGACCAUAACUGACGCUGAGGCGCGAAAGCUAGGGGAGCAAACAGG